This 388-nucleotide ribosomal RNA is filed under the name Ctenochaetus striatus (striated surgeonfish). RNAcentral describes it as "partial 16S ribosomal RNA". It matches the Rfam family "Bacterial large subunit ribosomal RNA", at positions 1963 to 2502 of the family's 2925-position model. The record is from RNAcentral. Lineage: Eukaryota; Metazoa; Chordata; Actinopteri; Acanthuriformes; Acanthuridae.
AANCACUUGUCUUUUAAAUGGAGACCUGUAUGAAUGGCACAACGAGGGCUUAACUGUCUCCUUUUUCUAGUCAAUGAAAUUGAUCUCCCCGUGCAGAAGCGGGGAUACNUACAUAAGACGAGAAGACCCUAUGGAGCUUUAGACACCAAAGCAGACCAUGUUAAGCACCCCUAAACAAAGGACCAAACAAUAUUGAACACUGCCCUAAUGUCUUCGGUUGGGGCGACCACGGAGAAAUAAAAAACCCCCGCGUGGAAUAGGGAUACUAUCCCCACAAUCACGAGCCUCCGCUCUAUUAAACAGAACCUCUGACCAAUCAGAUCCGGCAAUGCCGACCAACGGACCAAGUUACCCUAGGGAUAACAGCGCAAUCCCCUUUUAGAGCCCA